RNAcentral lists this unclassified non-coding RNA (260 nucleotides) under uncultured Geoglossales. RNAcentral's name for it is "sequence contains 5.8S rRNA gene, ITS2, 28S rRNA gene". The stretch from base 1 to 52 matches the Rfam family "5.8S ribosomal RNA", at positions 103 to 154 of the family's 154-position model. Lineage: Eukaryota; Fungi; Ascomycota; Geoglossomycetes. The record is from RNAcentral.
AACGCACAUUGCGCCCUUUGGUAUUCCGAAGGGCAUGCCUGUUCGAGCGUCAUGAUAAAAUCUCAAGCCUUGCUUGGUAUUGGGUUUUCGUCUCCCUUGUAUUUUUGUACAUGUAGAGGCGUGCCUGAAAAUCAAUGGCGGUGCCUCAAUAGACUCAAGCGUAGCAGACUGACUGACGCUUUGGAGAAACUGUUGUAGGUUCUGCAUAUAAAAUAACAAGUGUUGACCUCGGAUCAGGUAGGGAUACCCGCUGAACUUAA